Molecule: unclassified non-coding RNA, 733 nt
Filed under: Hevea brasiliensis (rubber tree)
Lineage: Eukaryota; Viridiplantae; Streptophyta; Magnoliopsida; Malpighiales; Euphorbiaceae
Source: RNAcentral
ACACAGUAUCCAAUCAAUCGGACCUGCAAUAAAUGAAGAUGGUAUUAUUAUAUAGUGAAUAGAAGGUAAAGAAAUAUCCAAAGUUUUACAAAUCAUCCCUGUUGGAGCGUGCAUGAUUAUACAUAUGCAGACAGAACUAUUAAAUACACUAAUAUAAUCCCUGAGCUAGCAAAAUCCUUCUGGCAGGACACUUGAUGCUUAUCCAACUAGUUAAGACCUUCAACCUCGAAAGUGCAGUUGAUAAAAAUAUCUGUAUGUCGCAGCUUUGGACUGAUUCAACUAUUACAUUUGAAAUGAUUCUUACAUUGCCAUGGUAAACAGAAACACUGCAUUUAAUAUCUUGUUGCCAAAGCAAAGAAGUGGGUUUUAAGGAGAGAGUGCAUUAUAUAAACAAAUCAAAACUUAAAAUAAUGAAGCUGAGAGGCACAGUAAUUUAUAUAGUCGCCAAGCAGGCAGUGUAUACUGAUCUGGUCAUGCAAACAAACAACAUAAUUUUCCCAAGGUUCAUUAAAGUCUUAAUCUGGAACCACGUUAAGUUCAUUAUUUUAAAUGGAUAAAUGAAAUGAUAUGUGGAUUUUCUGUUUAGUUCAUACAAUAGAGGUAAACAGUGACUGAAGUAUUCUAGGUAAUACCAACAAUUACUCUGAAAACUACUCUAAAAUAAAAUUUUGUUACAUUUGCUCAAAUAAAGAGAUGCGACAACAUCAAUUCUUCUUUACAAGCAUUACUGUUA